This 199-nucleotide long non-coding RNA is filed under the name Solanum tuberosum (potato). Its description in RNAcentral is "long non-coding RNA (STUB_LNC003334)". The record is from RNAcentral. Lineage: Eukaryota; Viridiplantae; Streptophyta; Magnoliopsida; Solanales; Solanaceae.
GAAACGAUAUUUCGGACUCAACGGUGAAGGCGGAAUUUCCAUUUGGAUAUCGCUUCGAUGAAAAGUGGGUCCCGCACCCAGUAUCGUUUGAGCCAGAUUCCACAACUGCCAUCUAAAGCCUCGGGAAGUGAACAAAGGGUCGUUCUAGACCAAAAUCGAUCUUCCGAAGCUAACCUAGCUGUCAGAAUUUUCAUCUGAG